RNAcentral lists this transfer RNA (77 nucleotides) under Lacunisphaera sp. RNAcentral's name for it is "tRNA-Val". It matches the Rfam family "tRNA". Rfam says of the family: Transfer RNA (tRNA) molecules are approximately 80 nucleotides in length. Lineage: Bacteria; Pseudomonadati; Verrucomicrobiota; Opitutia; Opitutales; Opitutaceae. RNAcentral also lists the same sequence under 2 other names. The record is from RNAcentral.
GGACGCCUAGCUCAGUUGGUUAGAGCACCUGCUUCACACGCAGGGGGUCACUGGUUCGAGUCCAGUGGCGUCCACCA